RNAcentral lists this unclassified non-coding RNA (345 nucleotides) under soil metagenome. Its description in RNAcentral is "partial contains 5.8S ribosomal RNA, internal transcribed spacer 2, and large subunit ribosomal RNA". The stretch from base 1 to 121 matches the Rfam family "5.8S ribosomal RNA", at positions 35 to 154 of the family's 154-position model. The record is from RNAcentral.
GAUGAAGAACGUAGCGAAAUGCGAUAAGUAAUGCGAAUUGCAGAAUUUCCGUGAGUCAUCGAAUCUUUGAACGCACAUUGCGCCCACUGGUAUUCCGGUGGGCAUGCCUGUUCGAGCGUCAUUAUCCUCCCUCAAACCCCGGGUUUGGUGUUGGACCCAAGUUGUGUGAACAACUGGUCUUAAAGACAAUGACGGCGUCCGUGGGACCCUCGGUGCAACGAGCUUUUAGGAGCACGCAUCGAGUUGCAAGGACCUUCCGGGCCGGUCUCCUUUACUAUUUUACAAGGUUGACCUCGGAUCAGGUAGGAAUACCCGCUGAACAUAAGCAUAUCAAUAAGCGGAGGA